UACGUAGGCAGCAAGCGUUGUUCGGAAUUACUGGGCGUAAAGCGCACGUAGGCGGACUCUUAAGUCGGGGGUGAAAUCCUGGAGCUCAACUCCAGAACUGCCUUCGAUACUGGGAGUCUUGAGUUCGGGAGAGGUGAGUGGAACUGCGAGUGUAGAGGUGAAAUUCGUAGAUAUUCGCAAGAACACCAGUGGCGAAGGCGGCUCACUGGCCCGAUACUGACGCUGAGGUGCGAAAGCGUGGGGAGCAAACAGG
RNAcentral lists this ribosomal RNA (253 nucleotides) under uncultured bacterium. RNAcentral's name for it is "partial 16S ribosomal RNA". It matches the Rfam family "Bacterial small subunit ribosomal RNA", at positions 524 to 776 of the family's 1533-position model. The record is from RNAcentral.